Molecule: long non-coding RNA, 1562 nt
Filed under: Homo sapiens (human)
Lineage: Eukaryota; Metazoa; Chordata; Mammalia; Primates; Hominidae
Description: lncTCAM1P-6.1kb
Source: RNAcentral
CAGAGGUUGCAAUGAGCCGAGAUCGCCCCACUGCACUCCAGCCUGGGCGGCAAGAGUGAAACUCAUCAAAAAAAAAAAAAAAAAAAAAAAAGACUCAGCUGCUCUGUGGGGCAGAACAGCAGCCAACUCAACUUCCUGUAAAAGCUCAUGCUGGUAGCUCGGAACUGCCAAGGGACCUAGGAGGCUCCAGACUUGACCCAGCUGGUGAACGGUCGACUUGGCCAAGGCUGAGUUCUACCGCACAUUUUUAACGUGGCUCCGCCUCACUUUAAGGAAGCCUGGUACUUUACUCCCCAGAAAAUGCUUCUAGUCAAAAGAAAUUUGGCUUAUGAGAAACCUCCCCGCAGUUUAAAAAAAGAGGUCUUUCUCCAGUAUUUAUAGCACUUAAUUUUCAAAAAUGCAGUAUCUUUUCAGGUACACUGUGCUGUAUCAAAGUAUUCAAAAAUGCGUCAGCUGUGCCAGGGAGCCUACCCUCUGAUGGUCUGGAUCUCCUCGCCGUGAUAUGGACCAGUGCUGCUUAAACUUUAAUGAGCACAUAAAAAACACUCGAGGCUCUUAUUAAAAAUGCAGAUUGUGGCAGGGCCCAGGACUCUGCAUUUGUAACAAGCUGCCAGCGAUGCUGUUGCUUCUCAGACCACACUGUCAAGAAGCCGGGAUCUAGACUUUUUUUUUUUUUUAGUUUUUUUACUAUAAUUGCUUUAUUUUUCCAGCCCCAACCAAGUAAUACUUCCUUCCUUGCAUCAUAGCACCCCAGAUCUUUUUUACAGUAUAGUUCUCCAGUGCUUUUUAGAAAUUAGUUCUCCUCAUGCCUCUAGUGAUAAACACCGCUGCUGCUGUUUUCUUACCUCCUGAACUUAGAGAUCCCACUCUAUUGCCCCAAGAGUCGAUAACCUGUCAGUCUGGGGACUGGCCACUGGAAUUGUUAAAGUCACUGAAUCAUGGCCCCUCCCAUCCCUGUAAAGUGGGUUAAGAGUUCAUGAUAAGGCAGCUAAUAUCCAUUUCAAUCCUUUUAAGCUUCUAGAACAACAGUAAUUCUCAAAGUGAUAGGGGCAGUGGAGAAUCAGAGUCCUCUGGGAAGCUACUCCAAAAUACCUCCGCCAGCCACCCCUCCAAUCCAAUGGCUCUCAGUAUUGUAUUUGAAAAAUAAGCUUCCUAGGUAAUUCUGAUGCGACCCAGUGGGUCGCAUCAGAAAACACAAGAUUUUUUCUACCCUAGAAAAGGGGCAAGCUAAUAAGUGCAUUUAAAAGCAGAUCAGCUGGGUGGAGUGGCUCACACCUGUAAUCCCAGCACUUUGGGAGGCCAAGGUGAGUGGAUCACUUGAAGUCAGGAGUUCGAGACCAGUCUGGCCAAGAUGGUGAAACCAUGUCUCUACUAAAAAUAUAAAAAUUAGCUGGGCGUGGUGGUGCACACCUGUAAUCCCAGCUACUCAGGAGGCUGAGGCACGAGAAUUGCUUGAACCCAAGAGGCAGUGGUUGCAGUGAGCAGAGAUCGUGCCACUGCACUCCAGCCUGGGUGACAGAGUAAGACACUGUCUCAAUAAUAAUAAAGCAGAUCAAACGGUU